RNAcentral lists this unclassified non-coding RNA (379 nucleotides) under uncultured Gammaproteobacteria bacterium. RNAcentral describes it as "contains 16S-23S intergenic spacer region". The record is from RNAcentral. Lineage: Bacteria; Pseudomonadati; Pseudomonadota; Gammaproteobacteria.
UCCGGUUUAUCACCGGCAGUCUCCUUAGAGUCCCCGCCAUAACGCGUUGGUAACUAAGGACAAGGGUUGCGCUCGUUACGGGACUUAACCCAACAUCUCACAACACGAGCUGACGACAGCCAUGCAGCACCUGUCUCUGGGUUCCCGAAGGCACACUCACUAUUAUAUGAGCUUCCCAGGAUGUCAAGAGUAGGUAAGGUUCUUCGCGUAGCAUCGAAUUAAACCACAUGCUCCACCGCUUGUGCGGGCCCCCGUCAAUUCCUUUGAGUUUUAAUCUUGCGACCGUACUCCCCAGGCGGAGAACUUAUUGCGUUAGCUGCGACACUAAGCAGUUUAAACUGCCCAACAUCUAGUUCUCAUCGUUUACGGCGUGGACUAC